GAUGAACGCUGGCGGCGUGCUUAACACAUGCAAGUCGAACGAAGCACUUAAGAUUGAUUCUUCGGAUGACGUCUUUUGUGACUUAGUGACGGACGGGUGAGUAACGCGUGGGUAACCUGCAUCACACAGGGGGAUAACAGAUAGACAUGACUGCUAAUACCGCAUAACCCGAUAGUAUCGCAGGAUCCAGACGGAAAAGAUUGAUCGGUGUGAGAUGGACCCGCGUCUGAUUAGCUAGUUGGUGAGGUAACGGCACACCAAGGGGACGAGCAGUAGCCGGCCUGAUAGGGUGACCGGCCACAUUUGGACUGCGACACGGCCUAAACUCGUACGGGAGGCAGCAGUAGGGAAUAUUGCACAAGGGGGGAUAACGUGAUGCAGCGACGUGGCGUGAGUGAAGAAGUAUUUCGGUAUGUAAAGUUCUCUCAGCAGAGAAGAAAAUGACGGUACUUGACAAAGAAGCCCCGGCUAACUACGUG
Molecule: ribosomal RNA, 479 nt
Filed under: uncultured bacterium
Lineage: Bacteria
Description: partial 16S ribosomal RNA
Rfam family: Bacterial small subunit ribosomal RNA
Source: RNAcentral